This 253-nucleotide ribosomal RNA is filed under the name uncultured bacterium. RNAcentral's name for it is "partial 16S ribosomal RNA". It matches the Rfam family "Bacterial small subunit ribosomal RNA", at positions 524 to 776 of the family's 1533-position model. The record is from RNAcentral.
GACGGAGGAUGCAAGCGUUAUCCGGAAUGAUUGGGCGUAAAGCGUCCGCAGGUGGCAGUUCAAGUCUGCUGUCAAAGACCGGGGCUUAACUUCGGAAAGGCAGUGGAAACUGAACAGCUAGAGUAUGGUAGGGGCAGAGGGAAUUCCUGGUGUAGCGGUGAAAUGCGUAGAGAUCAGGAAGAACAUCGGUGGCGAAGGCGCUCUGCUGGACCAUAACUGACACUCAGGGACAAAAGCUAGGGGAGCGAAUGGG